AAGCCCAGUAUGAGAUAUCAUGAGAUCAGUAGAGCAAUCUAGAUCAUUGCGAACAGUUCAGACAGAUAGAGCAGUGUAUUUUCAAGGGAGCCAUCUUAGUUAAGUGAACAAUUUUAAACUUGUGUGUUAUUAGCCGUACCACUCCAUCAAGACUUUGUAGACAUUUAAUUUGUAUUUGCAGUUAUGUCGUCUUAUACUAGGUCCGAUAUUAAGAUGUCUUCAAUCGCAAAUACCUUCAUCUCAGCAUCCCAAGACCUUAGUGCAUAUUCUUUGAACACCACACAUUUCGUGAUUGGUCUCUGGCGAGCCUAAUUGGAAAUAACCUCAAGUAAAGAAACACUAGAACAAUUAGGAAUCAAUGCCUAUCAGUCGAAUUAAUCGACAUAAAUCAGUUUUGAGGAACGUCCCAGAAUUUAAAUUAAAGGCACACCCCUACAGAAGAAUGGGAAAGGGAACAAAAAAGCACAGUUUCAGAGGAAGAUUCAACAAAGUUGUUAAAGUGUUGCGAUUGUUCUCUGCUGGAAGUUUAGAGCACACUCACUAACUGUAACGAACUCUUGUGUUUGAUAUUUAUUGAGAAGCUGAGUACGAUCUUGAGACAAAAUGGGAAAGGGCAAGACAAGACCAAGACAAAGUGGUUUUAUAUAUGGACUAAGGAAGGUUGUCAAGGUCUUUAGACUGUUUUCAUCCGCUUCCCUUGAACAUACUCACUAAUACAGAAUUGGAUCAAUUUAUUAAAUAUUGACAAUAUAAAUUAAAACAGUUUUAAUAACUUUUUAUAGUGUAUAGGCUGUUUUUAGAUCCAUUAGAGAAAAGAGACGAUUGACUAAAGACAAUAAAUUGUGUCAGUUGGACAUUAAAAGAUUAGUUACAAGUGAGUCUAAAUAAUUAUUUGCCAGAAUCUUGGCAUUGGUGUUUGGAAAAUCGGUUAAUUCCGAGAGUAUUUGAAGCUAUAAUCCUGAAGACGAAGUUGGGGGAUGUUUAAAACAGUCGGGAGGAAAGGCUGUGCCAUCAUGGAUGGGAUGGUCAAAACGUUGUUGGUGAUGGGGAGAAAUUUGGGAUUUACUUUUCUGUUAAUCUCAAGAGCCAGCCUGGGCUUAGUUCCUGCAAGAAAAGGAGGUUACCCUAAAAGGGUGAUGACUUGUAUCACUUAUUAAAAUGGUGGAGGGGUGAAGAUUUGAAGAAUCAUAUUAAUGUGAGGAUGUGAAGAAUUACAUUAAUGUGAAGAUGUAAAGAAUUUUCUUUUUGCUUUUUUUUCUUUCCUUUUGCGUUUUUUGUAUUUACUGAUUUUAUUAUGUUUUUUGAUAUGAUUGUUUUUUGUCUAACCUAACGUUAAUAAAUGCUAUUUUUGUAACGGUUAUGUUAUAUGUAUGAUGGAUACUACACUUUAACAUAUCACUUGCUAAAGAAUAUACGGAAAAAUAAGUCUCGGUCAUUUAAAAUAUAAAGGUCUGUCGAGCAAAAUUGGAUCAUCCGUUUCUAAACUUAUUUUUAUUUUGAAGUAUGUAAUAACCCGGACAAAUCAAAUUUUAUACUCGAAUUAUAGCCCACAAUAAUUUAAAUGAGUUAAUUUAGUUAUAUUACAGUGUUUGAUUGUCAGAGUUUUGAUGAUUUCUUUUCAAGCUUCUUCGGGUAGUUCGGUCCCUGAUACCGACAACAGUUUGGCAUUCUUGAAAACAAUUUAUAUCACAGCAUACUACGUCGUACUGGCUAACCUUAAAACUGUUGCUAAUGAGCGCACAGUCUUUACAUGGCAUCACUAUAUGUUAUUAUCUGUUACAGUCGUAUUAAAGUUUCGGGUCAACUUUGAAAAAAAAUAAAUAAAUAAAUAAAAUUUGUGAUUAUUUUGACUUCAUAGUGGUUCGGGGUACCUUAACAUAGAAAUAAUAAUUCGCACCGACCGUUACAAUUUAACGACUUCUCAUAAUAUCUUUAAAUUCUGAUCGUGCAUGUUUCAAAUGAUUUAAAUAUUUUACACGUUUUGUUCAUUAUUUGUAGAGAGUAUACGGAUUCGGCGUUGCUUUAAAAUAAAAGUUGACCCGAACCUUUAAUUUUGUGAACUAUGUACAGUACGUAUUGGACAAUAUUUUCUGGGAAUUUCGGUUACCUGGUAAAACAACCACACACCUCAAAUUUACUAAAGUUUGGCAAAAUUGAAAGUAAACUUUAUAUAUUUAAGCAUUACGUGUAUCCUUCUGAAAGUAUUAUAAUUAGUUUGUCGCUUGUAUGAAUAUAUUGUGUAGGCCUAUUUCCUAAAUAUAUAAGAUUGAAAUUGUAGUUAAUUGGAUUAUUCUGAAAGUAUUAUAAUUAUUUUGUUGCUUCUAUGAAUAUACAUGUAUUGUGUAGUUUCCUAAAAAAAAUUAUAAAAUUGAAAUUGUAGUUAGUUAUAUUAAGUCACGUUCAGACGCUUAAGUUGAACUGGUUUAAAAACCCCGGGGAUUGUUAAACCAGUUUAACUUUGGCGUCUGAACGCACAUGUGGGGCAAAUAAACCAGUUAAAAAACCCCAGCUCGCGUCCUGUCUUCGAGAAGGCUUUUUAUUUUAAACUGGUUCAUCUUUGCCGUCUGAACGGGUUGGCUUAAAAAACCCAGCUCCAGCUUGCUUUGAGCAUGCGCAGUACGCAGUAAGUUACAUUCCUGUGAAAAUAUCGGGGUCAGACUGUGCCAAUGUUAUCUAAAGCGUGCGAGAACCGAAUAAAGAAUAUGAAGCUACCCAUGCGCAAUUAACUCUAACCUCCGACCGAAGAGGUCAGAAUAGUUAAACUGGUUUGGCUUUUAGUACGUUUGAACGCAACACGAUGCUGUCUUAAAAACCCCAGCGAUUAUGAACUGGUUUAAAAAUAAGCGCCUGAACGGGCUAUCUGAUGGUCAUCUGAAAGGAUCUACAAUGUAGAAGGAUUAAUCUCUUUUAUUAUUUUCAAAGCGCAUCCUGACACUGAACUAGGACCUUGGCCGUCUUAACAUCAUAUUCCCCCCACCUUCCACUCACAUGAAUAAAAAUGUAAACAGUCGAUAUAGUUAAAUAUAUUUAAUGUAUUGACACUACCAACAGAAUUGGUGUUUAAAUGUUUAAAAUAAAGCAUGCCUUACUGCAUAGAAUAAUCAACACAUGCGUUUACAUGAACCUUGAAACAUUUAAUAGUUCAGCAAAAAAAAUAUGGUCGCCCCCACCCAUGCCUCCCGACAAUUGCCCAGCGUGAUACAUGUGUUAAGACGGCCCCGGUUAAGGCACGCAUCAUGUUCAAUCAUUCAACGUUUUUCUGCGAGUGUCUUCUGUAAGAAACGCAGACUAUCUUUUAGUGAUUCCGAGCAAAGUGCCCAGGUCAUAAAUUUAAGGAAUUCGCGCUAUACAAACAUAAAUCUGGUUGGUUUAAAUUAAAAAGAUGUAAGAUUCUUGAAAGAUUCGGAAUUGUGAAACUUGAAGAUAAUUUAAAACGGACUGCUUCAUAUAUUUGGAUUUUUCUUUUUACAUGUAAUUUAUUUUAUUAAUUCGAAGAAAUUGAAUUAUUCACUAUUCCAUAUUUGAACAAAAGUCUUCAUACAUUUAUUCGAUUUAAUUGAAUUGGAUUCGUUAGUAAUAAUACCACUCAUGAUACUUGUUAUUUAACAAAUAUUUGAACAAAUUAUUUUUUACCCUUUUUCAAAUCUAUAUAUAUUUAUAGAUGGUUUAUAUAUAUAAAAAAAAAAAUCUGAAAUUUAUGUAUUUGUAAUUUGGCUAUUAAAGGGCUUUAUUCGGUUCGUUACAAAUAAUAAUAUUGCUUAUACAUGUGAUUAAACAAACGUUUGAACAACAUUUUCUCUAAAUUAUUAUAUGUAUUUAGUAUGCUUAUGUCGUAAAUUUAUAUAUAGCUUAUUAGAAAAAUGAUUAAUUUAUGUAUUUGUAAUUUGGCUAUAAUUAAAGGGCUAUCAUUGCUUACAAUAUA
Long non-coding RNA from Patella vulgata (common limpet), 3922 nucleotides. RefSeq lists it as uncharacterized. NCBI's taxonomy places the organism in Eukaryota, Metazoa, Mollusca, Gastropoda, Patellidae. The transcript is spliced from 2 exons. The record is from RefSeq and is a predicted model, not a curated record.